Regulatory RNA element from Enterococcus faecalis V583, 168 nucleotides. It matches the Rfam family "THF (Tetrahydrofolate) riboswitch aptamer". From Rfam's summary of the family: THF riboswitch presents a pseudoknot that joins P1-P2 and the loop of P3 and two THF binding. The record is from Rfam. Lineage: Bacteria; Bacillati; Bacillota; Bacilli; Lactobacillales; Enterococcaceae.
AACAGAGUAGGAGACAAAGCGUUAAGUGCUAAAAGGAUGGGAUGUUGCCUUUUGGACGAAGAACAUAAACAGUGUGUUGCUAGAAAGCAAAGGUUCUUACUUUGCUUAUCAUCAGAACAACACGUUCAGCUUUUUAAUGUUCGCGGUUUUGUUUUCGCAUUCGCUGCA